This 425-nucleotide ribosomal RNA is filed under the name uncultured bacterium. RNAcentral describes it as "bacterial SSU rRNA". It matches the Rfam family "Bacterial small subunit ribosomal RNA", at positions 354 to 796 of the family's 1533-position model. The record is from RNAcentral.
GUGGGGAAUAUUGGACAAUGGGGGAAACCCUGAUCCAGCGACGCCGCGUGAGUGAAGAAGGCCUUAGGGUUGUAAAGCUCUUUCGCCGGGGAAGAUGAUGACGGUACCCGGAGAAGAAGCCCCGGCUAACUCCGUGCCAGCAGCCGCGGUAAGACGGAGGGGGCUAGCGUUGUUCGGAAUGACUGGGCGUAAAGCGCGCGUAGGCGGUUUGGUAAGUUGGAUGUGAAAGCCCGGGGCUCAACCCCGGAUGUGCGUUCAAAACUGCCAGACUGGAGACCGGAAGGGGAGAGCGGAAUUCCCAGUGUAGAGGUGAAAUUCGUAGAUAUUGGGAAGAACACCGGUGGCGAAGGCGGCUCUCUGGUCCGGUUCUGACGCUGAGGCGCGAAAGCGUGGGGAGCAAACAGGAUUAGAUACCCGGGUAGUCC